RNAcentral lists this unclassified non-coding RNA (234 nucleotides) under Hevea brasiliensis (rubber tree). The record is from RNAcentral. Lineage: Eukaryota; Viridiplantae; Streptophyta; Magnoliopsida; Malpighiales; Euphorbiaceae.
GCAAAACUAUAUAGCUGGGUUAGACCCUUCCACAAACAUAGAAAGUACUAAUUAAACCGAGUUAACGAUUGAGUCAAUCCUAACGAGUUGCAAUUAAGGUUGUGCCAAUUGCAUCAUUCUAUGAAAGUUAAUGUCCAUUGUCUACCGUACAGUUUAUUUAUCCCUUGAAUUGUGCUAAACCAAUAAUAACGACUGUGACAAGGACGGAUCCCAACCAAUUCAUCCUUGUUGAUG